Non-coding RNA from Pelobates cultripes (western spadefoot toad), 476 nucleotides. The record is from the annotation of a GenBank genome assembly. NCBI's taxonomy places the organism in Eukaryota, Metazoa, Chordata, Amphibia, Anura, Pelobatidae.
UGAGAGGUGCAGAAAUGAUUGACUGUCAAUACUUUCAUGGAUUUAGUAAGGAGUUACAGCAUUGCCCAGAAACUACUGCUCUCAUUCCCAGAGCUGCAUCUUCUUAGUUUGUCAAAGUAAGAUUUUGAACAUUUAUUUAUUAGUCAGGUGGAUUUAACAUCUUGAAUAAUAAUCAGAUAAUAAUCACAUGUAUCAUAACUGGAAAUGUCCAUAUUCAGUGCCCAAAUCCCUCUGUCCCCCUUUUCUAUUCUAAUGUCCCUCUUUUCUAGGAGCCUCAUAUUGUUGGUGUGGCUGGGCGUAUAACAGAGCUCCACAGCAAUUAAUACUCAUAGGGGACUACUUUAUCGUAUGUAUUUUUCCCCUGCUUAUUUUUAGUACGUCUGACGGCUGCGCUCUGUCUAGGCAGGGUCUCGCUGGAUCCUUCAAAGACAUGAAUGCUCUACUCUUGUGCAUGCGCAAGUAAAAAUCUCGCCAGA